UACGGAGGGUGCAAGCGUUAUCCGGAUUCACUGGGUUUAAAGGGUGCGUAGGAGGGCAGGUAAGUCAGUGGUGAAAUCCUGGGGCUUAACCCCAGAACUGCCGUUGAUACUAUCGGUCUUGAAUACCGUGGAGGUGAGCGGAAUAUGUCAUGUAGCGGUGAAAUGCUUAGAGAUGACAUAGAACACCAAUUGCGAAGGCAGCUUGCUACACGUUUUAUUGACUCUGAGGCACGAAAGCGUGGGGAUCAAACAGG
Molecule: ribosomal RNA, 254 nt
Filed under: uncultured bacterium
Lineage: Bacteria
Description: partial 16S ribosomal RNA
Rfam family: Bacterial small subunit ribosomal RNA
Source: RNAcentral